This 850-nucleotide ribosomal RNA is filed under the name uncultured Prevotella sp. Its description in RNAcentral is "bacterial SSU rRNA". It matches the Rfam family "Bacterial small subunit ribosomal RNA". Lineage: Bacteria; Pseudomonadati; Bacteroidota; Bacteroidia; Bacteroidales; Prevotellaceae. The record is from RNAcentral.
GAUGAACGCUGGCUACAGGCUUAACACAUGCAAGUCGAGGGGAAACGACGGGGAAGCUUGCUUCCCCGGGCGUCGACCGGCGCACGGGUGAGUAACGCGUAUCCAACCUGCCUCUGACUGAGGGAUAACCCGUCGAAAGUCGGCCUAAUACCUCAUGGUAUCGUCUGCGGGCAUCCAACGACGAUUAAAGAUUUCAUCGGUCAGGGAUGGGGAUGCGUCUGAUUAGCUUGUUGGCGGGGUAACGGCCCACCAAGGCUACGAUCAGUAGGGGUUCUGAGAGGAAGGUCCCCCACAUUGGAACUGAGACACGGUCCAAACUCCUACGGGAGGCAGCAGUGAGGAAUAUUGGUCAAUGGGCGAGAGCCUGAACCAGCCAAGUAGCGUGCAGGAAGACGGCCCUAUGGGUUGUAAACUGCUUUUAUGCGGGGAUAAAGUGAGGGACGUGUCCCUCAUUGCAGGUACCGCAUGAAUAAGGACCGGCUAAUUCCGUGCCAGCAGCCGCGGUAAUACGGAAGGUCCUGGCGUUAUCCGGAUUUAUUGGGUUUAAAGGGAGCGUAGGCCGUGGAUUAAGCGUGUUGUGAAAUGCAGGUGCUCAACGUCUGCACUGCAGCGCGAACUGGUCCACUUGAGUGUGCGCAACGCAGGCGGAAUUCGUCGUGUAGCGGUGAAAUGCUUGGAUAUGACGAAGAACUCCGAUUGCGAAGGCAGCUUGCGGGAGCACAACUGACGCUGAAGCUCGAAAGUGCGGGUAUCGAACAGGAUUAGUACCCUGGUAGUCCAGGGGCGAAUUUCACAGUGGAUAUCAAGCUUAUCGAUACCGUCGGGGGGCGUUGGUUGUGUCCUGUACCAG